Molecule: transfer RNA, 57 nt
Filed under: Ictidomys tridecemlineatus (thirteen-lined ground squirrel)
Lineage: Eukaryota; Metazoa; Chordata; Mammalia; Rodentia; Sciuridae
Description: Spermophilus tridecemlineatus (thirteen-lined ground squirrel) tRNA
Rfam family: tRNA
About the family: Transfer RNA (tRNA) molecules are approximately 80 nucleotides in length. Their secondary structure includes four short double-helical elements and three loops (D, anti-codon, and T loops).
Source: Rfam by way of RNAcentral
UAGCUCAGUGGUACAGCACUCUCCUAACAUGUGUGAGGCCCUGGGUUCAAUUCCCAG